Molecule: ribosomal RNA, 154 nt
Filed under: Typhula ishikariensis
Lineage: Eukaryota; Fungi; Basidiomycota; Agaricomycetes; Agaricales; Typhulaceae
Description: 5.8S ribosomal RNA
Rfam family: 5.8S ribosomal RNA
About the family: 5.8S ribosomal RNA (5.8S rRNA) is a component of the large subunit of the eukaryotic ribosome. It is transcribed by RNA polymerase I as part of the 45S precursor that also contains 18S and 28S rRNA.
Source: RNAcentral
AAUUAUACAACUUUUAACAACGGAUCUCUUGGCUCUCGCAUCGAUGAAGAACGCAGCGAAAUGCGAUAAGUAAUGUGAAUUGCAGAAUUCAGUGAAUCAUCGAAUCUUUUGAACGCCCUUGCGCUCCUUGGAUUCCGGGGAGCAUGCCUGUUUG